This 1142-nucleotide ribosomal RNA is filed under the name human metagenome. Its description in RNAcentral is "bacterial LSU rRNA". It matches the Rfam family "Bacterial large subunit ribosomal RNA", at positions 819 to 1977 of the family's 2925-position model. The record is from RNAcentral.
GGUGAAAUUCCAAUCGAACUCGGAUAUAGCUGGUUCUCCUCGAAAUAGCUUUAGGGCUAGCCUCAAGGUAAAGAUACACGGGGGUAGAGCACUGACUGUUCGCGGGGCCUUCACCGGUUACCAACAACUAUCAAACUCCGAAUACCGUGCUAUCAUACUUGGGAGUCAGACUAUGAGAGAUAAGUUCCAUGGUCGAAAGGGAAACAGCCCAGAUCAACAGCUAAGGUCCCAAAGAGUAAGUUAAGUGGAAAAGGAUGUGGGAUUGCACAAACAGCUAGGAUGUUGGCUUAGAAGCAGCCAUACAUUUAAAGAGUGCGUAAUAGCUCACUAGUCGAGUGAUCCUGCGCCGAAGAUAAACGGGGCUCAAACUUACCACCGAAGCUUUGGAAUUAGUAUAACUAAUUGGUAGAGGAGCAUUCUAUACAGGUAGAAGGAGGCGCGUAAGCAAAUCUGGACGGUAUAGAAGAGAGAAUGUUGGCAUGAGUAGCGUAAGGCGGGUGAGAAUCCCGUCCGCCGAAAAUCUAAGGUUUCCUGAGGAAGGUUCGUCCUCUCAGGGUAAGUCGGGACCUAAGCCGAGAGCGAACGCUGUAGGCGAUGGACAACAGGUUGAUAUUCCUGUACCACCAAGGAUUGUUUGAAUGAAGUGGGGACACAGAAGGAUAGAUUGAGCACGCCGUUGGUUGAGCGUGUCCAAGCAGCAAGGCUUGAAAGUAGGCAAAUCCGCUUUCUACAAGGCUGAGCUGUGAUGGGGUGGUCGAAUGACCGGUAGCAAUCGAUUUCACGCUGUCAAGAAAAGCCGCUAAUGAGAUCCAAGGUGCCCGUACCGCAAACCGACACAGGUAGAUGAGGAGAGAAUCCUAAGGUGAGCGAGCGAACUAUUGUUAAGGAACUCGGCAAAAUAACCCCGUAACUUCGGGAGAAGGGGUGCCUGCUUCGGCAGGCCGCAGUGAAGAGGUCCAGGCAACUGUUUACCAAAAACACAGGUCUCUGCUAAAGCGAAAGCUGAUGUAUAGGGGCUGACGCCUGCCCGGUGCUGGAAGGUUAAGGGGAAGUGUUAGGGCAACCGAAGCACAGAACUUAAGCCCCAGUAAACGGCGGCCGUAACUAUAACGGUCCUAAGGUAGCGAAAUUCCUUGUCGGGU